GAUGAACGCUGGCGGCGUGCCUAAUACAUGCAAGUCGAGCGAACAGACGAGGAGCUUGCUCCUCUGACGUUAGCGGCGGACGGGUGAGUAACACGUGGAUAACCUACCUCUAAGACUGGGAUACCUUCGGGAAACCGGAGCUAAUACCGGAUAAUAUAUUGAACCGCAUGGUUCAAUAGUGAAAGACGGUUUUGCUGUCACUUAUAGAUGGAUCCGCGCCGCAUUAGCUAGUUGGUAAGGUAACGGCUUACCAAGGCGACGAUGCGUAGCCGACCUGAGAGGGUGAACGGCCACACUGGAAGUGAGACACGGUCCAGACUCCUACGGGAGGCAGCAGUAGGGAAUCUUCCGCAAUGGGCGAAAGCUGGACGGAGCAACGCCGCGUGAGUGAUGAAGGUCUUCGGAUCGUAAAACUCUGUUAUUAGGGAAGAACAAAUGUGUAAGUAACUAUGCACGUCUUGACGGUACCUAAUCAGAAAGCCACGGCUAACUACGUG
RNAcentral lists this ribosomal RNA (497 nucleotides) under uncultured bacterium. RNAcentral describes it as "partial 16S ribosomal RNA". It matches the Rfam family "Bacterial small subunit ribosomal RNA", at positions 28 to 507 of the family's 1533-position model. The record is from RNAcentral.